AUACGAUUAGAGAAAGCAUAAGCGUUGUGAAAAUAAUGCAGAAUUUCAAAGUAAAGAAAUCAUUCACGCCUGACUUUGGAGCAGAGGGCAUCUAUGGAGGUUUCUUGCUUGCGGUGAGGUCAGUGAAUGGUCUGGGAUUUUAUGAUUGGGAGAACACCGAACUGAUCCGCCGCAUUGAGAUCCAACCUAAACAUAUCUUCUGGUCAGACUCUGACGAGUUGGUCUGCAUCGCGACUGAAGAGUCUUUCUUCCUCCUUCGAUAAAAUGGCUGAUAAAGUAGUUGCCUCACAAGAGAACAACGAAGUCGUGACGGAGGACGGCAUUGAGGAUGCUUUUGAGAACCUUGUAUUUACUGGGCUACAUAGCCAAACAUGACCAUCUCUACCUGGGAAACAGGGACCUCAACAUCGUCAGCUACUCCCUGCUGGUCUCAGUCCUCAAGUACCAGACUGCUGUCAUGAGGAGGGACUUUGGUGUGGCCGACAAGGAGCUUCCCACAAUUGCAAAAGCGCAACGGACAAGAG
Long non-coding RNA from Phyllopteryx taeniolatus (common seadragon), 524 nucleotides. RefSeq lists it as uncharacterized. Lineage: Eukaryota; Metazoa; Chordata; Actinopteri; Syngnathiformes; Syngnathidae. The transcript has 4 exons. The record is from RefSeq and is a predicted model, not a curated record.